GGGUUGUGAGGUUAAGCGACUAAGCGUACACGGUGGAUGCCCUGGCAGUCAGAGGCGAUGAAGGACGUGCUAAUCUGCGAUAAGCGCCGGUAAGGUGAUAUGAACCGUUAUAACCGGCGAUUUCCGAAUGGGGAAACCCAGUGUGACUCGUCACACUAUCAUUAACUGAAUCCAUAGGUUAAUGAGGCGAACCGGGGGAACUGAAACAUCUAAGUACCCCGAGGAAAAGAAAUCAACCGAGAUUCCCCCAGUAGCGGCGAGCGAACGGGGAGGAGCCCAGAGCCUGAAUCAGCAUAUGUGUUAGUGGAAGCGUCUGGAAAGGCGCGCGAUACAGGGUGACAGCCCCGUACACAAAAGCGCAUGUGCUGUGAGCUCGAUGAGUAGGGCGGGACACGUGGUAUCCUGUCUGAAUAUGGGGGGACCAUCCUCCAAGGCUAAAUACUCCUGACUGACCGAUAGUGAACCAGUACCGUGAGGGAAAGGCGAAAAGAACCCCGGCGAGGGGAGUGAAAAAGAACCUGAAACCGUGUACGUACAAGCAGUGGGAGCACCCUUUGGGGUGUGACUGCGUACCUUUUGUAUAAUGGGUCAGCGACUUAUAUUCUGUAGCAAGGUUAACCGAAUAGGGGAGCCGGAGGGAAACCGAGUCUUAAUUGGGCGUUAAGUUGCAGGGUAUAGACCCGAAACCCGGUGAUCUAGCCAUGGGCAGGUUGAAGGUUGGGUAACACUAACUGGAGGACCGAACCGACUAAUGUUGAAAAAUUAGCGGAUGACCUGUGGCUGGGGGUGAAAGGCCAAUCAAACCGGGAGAUAGCUGGUUCUCCCCGAAAGCUAUUUAGGUAGCGCCUCGUGAAUUCAUCUCCGGGGGUAGAGCACUGUUUCGGCUAGGGGGCCAUCCCGGCUUACCAACCCGAUGCAAACUGCGAAUACCGGAGAAUGUUAUCACGGGAGACACACGGCGGGUGCUAACGUCCGUCGUGAAGAGGGAAACAACCCAGACCGCCAGCUAAGGUCCCAAAGUCAUGGUUAAGUGGGAAACGAUGUGGGAAGGCCCAGACAGCCAGGAUGUUGGCUUAGAAGCAGCCAUCAUUUAAAGAAAGCGUAAUAGCUCACUGGUCGAGUCGGCCUGCGCGGAAGAUGUAACGGGGCUAAACCAUG
This 1158-nucleotide ribosomal RNA is filed under the name Salmonella enterica subsp. enterica. Its description in RNAcentral is "partial 23S ribosomal RNA". It matches the Rfam family "Bacterial large subunit ribosomal RNA", at positions 1 to 1191 of the family's 2925-position model. Lineage: Bacteria; Pseudomonadati; Pseudomonadota; Gammaproteobacteria; Enterobacterales; Enterobacteriaceae. RNAcentral also lists the same sequence under 1 other name. The record is from RNAcentral.